Molecule: long non-coding RNA, 567 nt
Filed under: Oncorhynchus mykiss (rainbow trout)
Lineage: Eukaryota; Metazoa; Chordata; Actinopteri; Salmoniformes; Salmonidae
Description: lncRNA (ENSOMYG00000072029.1)
Source: RNAcentral
GUUAAUGACUGUUCAUGAAGGUGACGGAAGUGCGUUACGGUUUAAAGAAGGCUGCUUGGGUAAUAAAGGACACAGGGGGAGCUGUCCGUUGGCCUGGGUGCUGAAAUAUAAUUCCAAGUCGUUGUGUCCAAUAGUAUAACAUUUGAAAGUAAUGUAAGGCCGUGUCUAAAGAGGAAUUAAUGAUUGGAAAACGUUUGUGUAGCCUAUGAAGCAAAGGAGGAAAACAUGGGAUUAUAUCACAUCGAGAGUUCCUUUGACGAAGACAUUUGGUUGAGGACUAUCCUUCCCUAAACUAUAUUCAGCAGUCCACCAGCCUGAUGCAUUGGGGACCAUAGAGUGAACCAAGAUGCCUAAGAUCAGCACGGAGCAGUCUUAUCCCAGCCACGGCCGCUGUUCGGUAAACACCCCAGACAACCUGGACCAGAUUGAGAGUGGCAGCAGCCAUGAGGACCAACUAGACCCCUCCUUCACGGGGACAGGAGGCAUGUCCAGGUCAGUGCAGAUGUCUUUUUUCCAUAUAAUUAUUUACAUUUAUGCUCAUUUUGAGGACUACAAUGAAAAUAAGUC